CUUUGGUUUUAUUUUGUUGGUUUCUAAGACCAAAGUAAUGAUUAAUAGGGACAGUUGGGGGCAUUUGUAUUUAGCCGUCAGAGGUGAAAUUCUUGGAUUGGCUAAAGACAAACUUCUGCGAAAGCAUUUGCCAAGGAUGUUUUCAUUAAUCAAGAACGAAAGUUAGGGGAUCGAAGACGAUCAGAUACCGUCGUAGUCUUAACCAUAAACUAUGCCGACUAGGGAUCGGACGCUGUUCAUUAAUGACGCGUUCGGCACCUUAUGAGAAAUCAAAGUUUUUAGGUUCCGGGGGGAGUAUGGUCGCAAGGCUGAAACUUAAAGGAAUUGACGGAAGGGCACCACCAGGAGUGGAGCCUGCGGCUUAAUUUGACUCAACACGGGGAAACUCAC
Molecule: ribosomal RNA, 390 nt
Filed under: fungal sp.
Lineage: Eukaryota; Fungi
Description: SSU rRNA
Rfam family: Eukaryotic small subunit ribosomal RNA
Source: RNAcentral